Molecule: long non-coding RNA, 490 nt
Organism: Ziziphus jujuba (common jujube)
Lineage: Eukaryota; Viridiplantae; Streptophyta; Magnoliopsida; Rosales; Rhamnaceae
Exons: 5
Source: RefSeq, a predicted model, not a curated record
AUUCCUAUUUUGAUAAAUGUCUUCUUUCUGAAUUGGAUUUUGUCCAAAUCUUCAGUCAACUAUUUAUAAAAAAACACUUUUCGGCAGAAGAUAAGUUCUGUUACAAUUACAUUGUACAUUGGUCCAAAGUGGUCACCAGCAAAUACUCAUACAAGUUUUCUUCUGUAAAAUCUCCUCUCUGCGAGACUAUGUUCAGGUGUGGUGCUGAAUGUAGUUGUUGAGUGUUUCUUUGGAAUGUGUAGUAUCACUUUUCUUGGAGGUUGUUUAUUUUGCUGAUGGAGAACUUUUCUGUAAUACAUGGAUUUGAUGGAAGCUCUUUUGAACAGUAUUACAUAAUCGGAAUUUUGAAAACAGGUUUCAUAAGUGACACAUUCAACAUAUCACGGUUUUAGAAGCCGUGCAUAUAUCUUCAGCCCAUCUGUUGGCUUCAAAGUUGGUCGACAAGGGAGAUUCAAGCCUUGAUACAGGUCUGCUAGUAUUCAAUUUCUUG